GACGAACGCUGGCGGCGUGCCUAAUACAUGCAAGUUGAGCGCUGAAGGUUGGUACUUGUACCAACUGGAUGAGCAGCGAACGGGUGAGUAACGCGUGGGGAAUCUGCCUUUGAGCGGGGGACAACAUUUGGAAACGAAUGCUAAUACCGCAUAAAAACUUUAAACACAAGUUUUAAGUUUGAAAGAUGCAAUUGCAUCACUCAAAGAUGAUCCCGCGUUGUAUUAGCUAGUUGGUGAGGUAAAGGCUCACCAAGGCGAUGAUACAUAGCCGACCUGAGAGGGUGAUCGGCCACAUUGGGACUGAGACACGGCCCAAACUCCUACGGGAGGCAGCAGUAGGGAAUCUUCGGCAAUGGAAGAAAGUCUGACCGAGCAACGCCGCGUGAGUGAAGAAGGUUUUCGGAUAGUAAAACUCUGUUGGUAGAGAAGAACGUUGGUGAGAGUGGAAAGCUCAUCAAGUGACGGUAACUAACCAGAAAGGGACGGCUAACUACGUG
Molecule: ribosomal RNA, 497 nt
Filed under: uncultured bacterium
Lineage: Bacteria
Description: partial 16S ribosomal RNA
Rfam family: Bacterial small subunit ribosomal RNA
Source: RNAcentral